Non-coding RNA from Thalictrum thalictroides, 97 nucleotides. Lineage: Eukaryota; Viridiplantae; Streptophyta; Magnoliopsida; Ranunculales; Ranunculaceae. The record is from the annotation of a GenBank genome assembly.
AUUUGAUGAUGUGGACGUAACUCCCCAAAUCAUUCCCAAGCUUCAAAAAAUUCUUCCGUAUGUUUUUGUCUAAAAGUUGGUAUCUUGUUUCUUAACU